UGCUUGGCGACCAUAGCGUUUUGGACCCACCUGAACCCAUUCCGAACUCAGAAGUGAAACGAAAUAGCGUCGAUGGUAGUGUGGGGUUUCCCCAUGUGAGAGUAGAACAUCGCCAGGCUU
Molecule: ribosomal RNA, 120 nt
Filed under: Vibrio vulnificus
Lineage: Bacteria; Pseudomonadati; Pseudomonadota; Gammaproteobacteria; Vibrionales; Vibrionaceae
Source: RNAcentral